UCCUACGACUGAUCAAACUUUUAGAUAUAUUAUUUUAUAUAUAUAAAGAUGUUUGGAAAAAACUUUGAGAAAAGUAGAAUUAUUAUUAUAAGGUUGCUUUCUUAAAAAUAAGAUUUAUAUUGUUUGGAUUUUCUUCAAAACUCAUUUUGUAUGAAAUAUAGCAAAUGGGUGGGGACAAAAAUCAAUACUUUU
This 192-nucleotide unclassified non-coding RNA is filed under the name uncultured Scabropezia. Its description in RNAcentral is "sequence contains ITS2". The record is from RNAcentral. Lineage: Eukaryota; Fungi; Ascomycota; Pezizomycetes; Pezizales; Pezizaceae.